CCUACGGGAGGCAGCAGUGGGGAAUAUUGCACAAUGGGGGAAACCCUGAUGCAGCGACGCCGCGUGAAGGAAGAAGUAUUUCGGUAUGUAAACUUCUAUCAGCAGGGAAGAAAAUGACGGUACCUGACUAAGAAGCCCCGGCUAACUACGUGCCAGCAGCCGCGGUAAUACGUAGGGGGCAAGCGUUAUCCGGAUUUACUGGGUGUAAAGGGAGCGUAGACGGCAUGGCAAGUCUGGUGUGAAAGGCAGGGGCUCAACCCCUGGACUGCAUUGGAAACUGUCAGGCUGGAGUGCAGGAGAGGUAAGUGGAAUUCCUAGUGUAGCGGUGAAAUGCGUAGAUAUUAGGAGGAACACCAGUGGCGAAGGCGACUUACUGGACUGUAACUGACGUUGAGGCUCGAAAGCGUGGGGAGCAAACAGGAUUAGAUACCCUUGUAGUC
This 440-nucleotide ribosomal RNA is filed under the name uncultured bacterium. Its description in RNAcentral is "partial 16S ribosomal RNA". It matches the Rfam family "Bacterial small subunit ribosomal RNA", at positions 338 to 795 of the family's 1533-position model. The record is from RNAcentral.